UAGCUUCUCUAACAGAGAUUAAAUUGGUCUGAGAAACACUAAAACCUCAAACUUCCUGGUGUUAAAUUCUAGAGUGCACAUAUAUCAACGUCUCACGUAACUUGAGUUUUAAACAAUUUCCUCUUUAGCCAGAGUAUGUACGCCUUAGCAGCACACUCAGUGUGAGACCCACUUGGGCUGUUUCUUUCCCUUUUCUCAACAAAGAACUUGAGGCAGAACGAUAAGGGGAUCCUGGGAGAGAUUUCACGCUGCGGACAGCCGUGCUGCUCCGCUCAUGCGCAGUGUGCAAUUGGUCAAUCCUUGAUACCGGUGUCUCGGUGUUCUGAUUUUCUUCCUGGUUUUGAUGAAAGGGACCACUUUGAAGCAGGUCUCCAUUAGUAGCUGUCUGGCAGGGGCUUCCUCACUUUGCAAGAGGCACGGAAACGUGCUUGCUCUUGCUGUUGGAAUCUCACAGUCCUCCAGGGACCUUUUUCAGUACAUUGUGGGUGAUGACACAUGGGUAAACUGACGGUUAUCCAUAGAAUGUAAACUCUUUGGGAUGUUCCUCAGCAACGCUGAGGUUUUACACACUCAUGUUGUUCUUUUAGCCUCUCUUUAUCUCUUUCCAAAACUCAGUGGGGAAAAAUAUCAACUGCCCUCCAUGUUUUCCAGGAUGUCGGCAUUCUUUGUCAUCAGCUAACAUCCAUCACGAAUUUUUGCAAGCCUCUAUCUCUCGGGAAAACACGGCUAAAACAAAGUUCUAUUUUCUUAGGUCUGGAUAUUCCAAAAGAUUUAGCCCCAGUGGGCCACCAUUUUGGAAUGAGUGGUCAACACCAAAUGCCCACAAAAAGGAAUGUUUCUCUGCUCCCUUUGGAGCUCAUGGCUGCUACAGAGAAUGUUUUUCCCACCUGGGCCAUUUUUUCCCCAUAAUUUCAUUUUAAUUGGUCUUUGGUUAAGUUUGCUUUAGCUGUUCAGUAACGGUUUGUUUAAAGCAUUCUGAGAGUCCUGUAAUGACUAUGGAUAGAGACUUCUGCGUGAUUUUCCAGUUAGCACAGGAUACAUCUUUGAGGGCAAAUCCUAUUUUAAUUAGACACUGAUAAAUUCUGAAACCAAAUAUUUACGAAUUUCUUAUAACUUCAUCAAAACCUCUCAACAGAAUAUCAGUGGUCAUCGACACGUUUUCUAAGCAUCAGGACUUUACCAUUUUGAAUGCAAUCGUUUUUCUUUUGUUUUUGUUUGUUUUGCUCCUGGCCCUGUACACACUGCUGACCUAGAACUCACUAUGUAGUCCCUGCUGGCUUCAUUCAAACUUGAAGCAACCUUCCUGUCUCAGUCUCCUGAGUGUGGCUCACUGUACCCAGCAUGAAUGCUAUUUUGGAUACAGAGGUCUCAGUUUGUCUCUGACAUAUUUUCCACGGCAGUCAAGCCCCCCCUGUAACUCUAAAUUGCACAUGAGUUCAGUGAGUCUUUAAGUCGCUUUAGGCAUUACACAGCACUUCGGUAUAAUCUUUAUGUUAACCCCUGUCAAUCACAUCUCAAGUAUGAAAAAUAUCAAUGUCAGAAGAAAGGGUCUGCAAUGCCUCUUCUCCAGGAUGCAUUUCCCACACCAGCAUGUGCUUUCUACGAGGACUCCUGCGAAGCUUCCAGGCGUGGGGCGGAGCUGGGAAUUAGAAGCUGACCAAUAUGACUGCCUUGCUUUCAACUUUCAGAAUAACACUGGCAAAUUCCAUAAACUUGUUUCUGAUCCUAAGUAUAAAGACUACUAGUAGCAGUUUUAUCACAAGGAAAAAAAAAACCCCUAUCAUUAAAUAAUCUUCCCUUUCAAACUCUUGAGUAUGACUACAAAGCAGUACUCUUUUGUGAGACAGGACUUUAGUGGAAGGUGAAAUAAAUACCUUUUAUAAAUGGUAUAGUCUACAGAGGCCACUUGACAAUUUAAUAAUUCUGGUUUUAUUCCCCCAUGAUAAGAAUGUCUUCAACAAAUAUAACAUGGUGAUUACUUCUGUUUGAUGAAUUAAAGUAAAAAAUAAGUUUCCUUC
Molecule: long non-coding RNA, 2018 nt
Filed under: Mus musculus (house mouse)
Lineage: Eukaryota; Metazoa; Chordata; Mammalia; Rodentia; Muridae
Description: long non-coding RNA chr3:55517568-55519586
Source: RNAcentral